CCUACGGGAGGCAGCAGUGGGGAAUCUUGCGCAAUGGCCUAACGGCUGACGCAGCGACGCCGCGUGUAGGAUGAAGCUCUUCGGAGUGUAAACUACUGUUGCCCGGGACGAAUAGCUCGAUUAAUCGAGCCUGACGGUACCGGGUGAGGAAGCACCGGCUAACUCCGUGCCAGCAGCCGCGGUAAUACGGGGGGUGCGAGCGUUGUCCGGAAUCACUGGGCGUAAAGGGCGCGUAGGUGGUUUGAUAAGGGUGUGGUGAAAGUCCGGGGCUCAACCCCGGAUCUGCCGUGCCGACUGUCAAACUCGAGGACUGUAGAGGCAGACGGAAUUCCGGGUGUAGCGGUGGAAUGCGUAGAGAUCCGGAGGAAGACCGGUGGCGAAGGCGGUCUGCUGGGCAGUUUCUGACACUGAGGCGCGACAGCGUGGGGAGCAAACAGGAUUAGAUACCCUGGUAGUCCACGCCGUAAACGAUGGGUACUAGGUGCCUGGGGGAGCGACCCUCUGGGUGCCGGCGCUAACGCAGGAAGUACCCCGCCUGGGGAGUACGACCGCAAGGUUGAAACUCAAAGGAAUUGACGG
RNAcentral lists this ribosomal RNA (579 nucleotides) under uncultured bacterium. Its description in RNAcentral is "bacterial SSU rRNA". It matches the Rfam family "Bacterial small subunit ribosomal RNA", at positions 338 to 916 of the family's 1533-position model. The record is from RNAcentral.